RNAcentral lists this ribosomal RNA (82 nucleotides) under Desulfurella multipotens. The record is from RNAcentral. Lineage: Bacteria; Pseudomonadati; Campylobacterota; Desulfurellia; Desulfurellales; Desulfurellaceae.
UCCCAUCCCGAACUCGGCAGUUAAGCCGCUAUGCGCCGAUGGUAGUCUGGGAACGCCCAGGCAAGAGUAGGUACUGCCAGGG